This 200-nucleotide ribosomal RNA is filed under the name uncultured bacterium. RNAcentral's name for it is "partial 16S ribosomal RNA". It matches the Rfam family "Bacterial small subunit ribosomal RNA", at positions 8 to 226 of the family's 1533-position model. The record is from RNAcentral.
AGAGUUUGAUCAUGGCUCAGAAUCAACGCUGGCGGCGCGCUUAACACAUGCAAGUCGCACGAGAAAGGGGCAACCUGAGUAAAGUGGCGUACGGGUGAGUAACACGUGGAUAAUCUACCUUUUAGUGGGGAAUACCUCCGGGAAACUGGAGACAAUACCGCAUAAUCUCGUAAGAGGAAAGCAGCAAUGCGCUGAAAGAG